CUAUCUGAAGAAGGACGUCCUUCUCCUUGGCGGUGUGAUGCAAAGGGCGCAGGAGAUAUUUUGGGAGGUAUACGA
This 75-nucleotide transfer RNA is filed under the name Nicotiana tabacum (common tobacco). Its description in RNAcentral is "tRNA-Pro". Lineage: Eukaryota; Viridiplantae; Streptophyta; Magnoliopsida; Solanales; Solanaceae. The record is from RNAcentral.